This is a long non-coding RNA of Gavia stellata (red-throated loon), 270 nucleotides long. RefSeq lists it as uncharacterized. The transcript has 3 exons. The record is from RefSeq and is a predicted model, not a curated record. Lineage: Eukaryota; Metazoa; Chordata; Aves; Gaviiformes; Gaviidae.
UCCUGCACGAUAUCAUCCGCAUUUCUGGCUGGCUGGUGGAAAACGGCAGGAAUCAAGAUUUUAUGCCUGUUUACUUCCAAAUCCGCUCUGUCCAGCUUGACCGCUCCAUCAAGGGGCUGGAAGACCAUUUCCGUAAGAACAGCUCCUCCACUGGAGUGCCAUAUUCCCCUGCCAUUCAGAACAAAAGGAAGGACACCCCCACCAAAAAGCCACUCAAGAGACCAGUCCUCAUCCCAGGUAAUGUGCGUCUAUGUGUGCGUGUGCUGGCCC